GACGAACGCUGGCGGCGUGCUUAACACAUGCAAGUCGAACGGAAAGGCCCUGCUUUUGUGGGGUGCUCGAGUGGCGAACGGGUGAGUAACACGUGAGUAACCUGCCCUUGACUUUGGGAUAACUUCAGGAAACUGGGGCUAAUACCGGGUAGGAGCUCCUGCUCCAUGGUGUGGGUUGGAAAGUUUCGGCUGUUUGGGAUGGACUCGCGGCUUAUCAGCUUGUUGGUGAGGUAGUGGCUUACCAAGGGUUUGACGGGUAGCCCGCCUGAGAGGGUGACCGGCAACAUUGGGACUGAGAUACGGCGCAGACUGCUACGGGAGGCAGCAGUGGGGAAUAUUGCACAACGGGGGGAAGCCUGAUGUAGCAACGUCGCGUGCGGGAUGAAGGCCUUCGGGUUGUAAACAGAUUUCGCAGGUGACGAAGCGUGCGUGACGGUAAUGGGUAAAGAAGCAACGGCUAACUACGUG
Molecule: ribosomal RNA, 468 nt
Filed under: uncultured bacterium
Lineage: Bacteria
Description: partial 16S ribosomal RNA
Rfam family: Bacterial small subunit ribosomal RNA
Source: RNAcentral